RNAcentral lists this ribosomal RNA (429 nucleotides) under Bacillota bacterium. Its description in RNAcentral is "Firmicutes bacterium partial 16S ribosomal RNA". It matches the Rfam family "Bacterial small subunit ribosomal RNA", at positions 355 to 776 of the family's 1533-position model. Lineage: Bacteria; Bacillati; Bacillota. The record is from RNAcentral.
UAGGGAAUCUUCGGCAAUGGACGGAAGUCUGACCGAGCAACGCCGCGUGAGUGAAGAAGGUUUUCGGAUCGUAAAGCUCUGUUGUUAGAGAAGAACGUUGGUAGGAGCGGAAAAUCUACCAAGUGACGGUAACUAACCAGAAAGGGACGGCUAACAACGUGCCAGCAGCUGCGGUAAUACGUAGGACUUGAGUGUUGUCCGGAACUAUUGGGCGUAAAGCGAGCGCAGGCGGUUCUUUAAGUCUGAAGUUAAAGGCAGUGGCUUGGCCAUUUUACGCUUUGUAAACUUGAGGACUUGAGUGCAGAAGGGCAGAGUUGCAUUCCAUGUGUAGCGGUGGAAUGCGUAGUUAUAUGGAUGCACACCGGUGGAGUAAGCGUCUCUCUGGUCUGUAACUGACGCUGAUGCUCGAAAGGGUGGGUAGCUAACAGG